RNAcentral lists this ribosomal RNA (810 nucleotides) under uncultured bacterium. RNAcentral's name for it is "bacterial SSU rRNA". It matches the Rfam family "Bacterial small subunit ribosomal RNA", at positions 28 to 814 of the family's 1533-position model. The record is from RNAcentral.
GACGAACGCUGGCGGCGUGCCUAACACAUGCAAGUCGAACGGAGAAUUUUAUUUCGGUAGAAUUCUUAGUGGCGAACGGGUGAGUAACGCGUAGGCAACCUGCCCUUUAGACGGGGACAACAUUCCGAAAGGAGUGCUAAUACCGGAUGUGAUCAUCGUGCCGCAUGGCAGGAUGAAGAAAGAUGGCCUCUACAAGUAAGCUAUCGCUAAAGGAUGGGCCUGCGUCUGAUUAGCUAGUUGGUAGUGUAACGGACUACCAAGGCGAUGAUCAGUAGCCGGUCUGAGAGGAUGAACGGCCACAUUGGGACUGAGACACGGCCCAAACUCCUACGGGAGGCAGCAGUGGGGAAUCUUCCGCAAUGGACGAAAGUCUGACGGAGCAACGCCGCGUGAGUGAUGAAGGAUUACGGUCUGUAAAGCUCUGUUGUUUAUGACGAACGUGCAGUGUGUGAACAAUGCAUUGCAAUGACAGUAGUAAACGAGGAAGCCACGGCUAACCACGUGCCAGCAGCCGCGGUAAUACGUAGGUGGCGAGCGUUGUCCGGAAUUAUUGGGCGUAAAGAGCAUGUAGGCGGCUUAAUAAGUCGAGCGUGAAAACGCGGGGCUCAACCCCGUAUGGCGCUGGAAACUGUUAGGCUUGAGUGCAGGAGAGGAAAGGGGAAUUCCCAGUGUAGCGGUGAAAUGCGUAGAUAUUGGGAGGAACACCAGUGGCGAAGGCGCCUUUCUGGACUGUGUCUGACGCUGAGAUGCGAAAGCCAGGGUAGCGAACGGGAUUAGAUACCCCGGUAGUCCUGGCCGUAAACGAUGGGU